AGUGAACGCUGGCGGUAGGCCUAACACAUGCAAGUCGAACGGCAGCACAGUAAGAGCUUGCUCUUACGGGUGGCGAGUGGCGGACGGGUGCGGAAUACAUCGGAAUCUACUUUUUCGUGGGGGAUAACGUAGGGAAACUUACGCUAAUACCGCAUACGACCUACGGGUGAAAGCAGGGGAUCUUCGGACCUUGCGCGAUUGAAUGAGCCGAUGUCGGAUUAGCUAGUUGGCGGGGUAAAGGCCCACCAAGGCGACGAUCCGUAGCUGGUCUGAGAGGAUGAUCAGCCACACUGGAACUGAGACACGGUCCAGACUCCUACGGGAGGCAGCAGUGGGGAAUAUUGGACGAUGGGCGCAAGCCUGAUCCAGCCAUACCGCGUGGGUGAAGAAGGCCUUCGGGUUGUAAAGCCCUUUUGUUGGGAAAGAAAAGCAGCAGGUUAAUACCCCGCUGUUCUGACGGUACCCAAAGAAUAAGCACCGGCUAACUUCGUG
RNAcentral lists this ribosomal RNA (492 nucleotides) under uncultured bacterium. Its description in RNAcentral is "partial 16S ribosomal RNA". It matches the Rfam family "Bacterial small subunit ribosomal RNA", at positions 29 to 507 of the family's 1533-position model. The record is from RNAcentral.